UCAUCCCGCAAGGGCUGACUGAGUGGCGAACGGGUGAGUAACGCGUGGGUGACCUACCUUCGAAUGGGGGAUAACGUCCCGAAAGGGACGCUAAUACCGCAUAACAUCCUGCCUUUGGACAGGUGGAGAUCAGAGCUGGGGAUCGCAAGACCUGGCGUUUGAAGAGGGGCCCGCGUCUGAUUAGCUAGUUGGUGGGGUAACGGCUCACCAAGGCUUCGAUCAGUAUCCGGCCUGAGAGGGCGGACGGACACACUGGGACUGAGACACGGCCCAGACUCC
This 279-nucleotide ribosomal RNA is filed under the name unidentified marine bacterioplankton. Its description in RNAcentral is "partial 16S ribosomal RNA". It matches the Rfam family "Bacterial small subunit ribosomal RNA", at positions 72 to 339 of the family's 1533-position model. The record is from RNAcentral.